CCAAUAGCGUAUAUUAAAGUUGUUGCAGUUAAAAAGCUCGUAGUUGAAUUUCGAGACCGGUUUACUGGUCGUGCUUUUGUACGUACUGGUAUUAUUGGUUUCUCCUUUCUGACGAAUCAUAAUGCCAUUAAUUUGGUGUUUUGGGGAAUCAGGACUGUUACUUUGAAAAAAUUAGAGUGUUUAAAGCAGGUUCACGCUUGAAUACAUUAGCAUGGAAUAACGAAAUAGGACGUUUGAUUUUAUUUUGUUGGUUUCUAGGAUCGACGUAAUGAUUAAUAGGGAUAGUUGGGGGCAUUAGUAUUCAAUUGUCAGAGGUGAAAUUCUUGGAUUUAUUGAAGACUAACUACUGCGAAAGCAUUUGCCAAGGAUGUUUUCAUUAAUCAAGAACGAAAGUUAGGGGAUCGAAGACGAUCAGAUACCGUCGUAGUCUUAACCAUAAACUAUGCCGACUAGGGAUCGGAUGAUGUUAAUUUUUUAAUGACUCAUUCGGCGCCUUACG
RNAcentral lists this ribosomal RNA (499 nucleotides) under uncultured Glomeromycotina. RNAcentral's name for it is "partial small subunit ribosomal RNA". It matches the Rfam family "Eukaryotic small subunit ribosomal RNA", at positions 591 to 1092 of the family's 1831-position model. Lineage: Eukaryota; Fungi; Glomeromycota. The record is from RNAcentral.